Lotus japonicus is the source of this 2043-nucleotide RNA transcript. It is a transcript of the gene named magnesium transporter MRS2-I-like, with no coding region annotated. The transcript has 12 exons. The record is from RefSeq and is a predicted model, not a curated record. NCBI's taxonomy places the organism in Eukaryota, Viridiplantae, Streptophyta, Magnoliopsida, Fabales, Fabaceae.
UGGAGAUGAAGAAUGAGAAAGAAAGAGAAAUUAUGUUGGAAUUACAUGAAAGUGAGUAGGAGUGUUAAGAAUGAAAUUCUGUUUUGUAAAUCUUUUUCACUUCCCUUCCAGUAACAAGUCACAACCACACCACCUGUCACCAAAUCAAAUCAACUCCAUUCAUGCACACAACUCAACACAACUCCUAUGUAAAAUUUCUUCACAUGCCAUCAUUGUCCUCUCUCCCUCCUCAUCUUCUCAUUCCCUCACCUCAUCCUCUUCUCUGCUCACCACUCACUCAACUAAAUUUAAUCCAACCCCACACUACUACUACUUCUCUUCAAACCACUUGAGUUACCAAACACUGAAUUCUCUUCAAAAUGGAUCUUGCUGACUCUGCAUCACUGGAACUUCAAGCUCCUUCUGCUGUAACGAAGAAAACUGCUGUUUUCAGAAGCUGGAUUCUGCUAAACCAUGACGGCGUAGCCACUCUUCUAGAUGUAGACAAGUAUGCUAUUAUGCGCCUGGUUGAAAUCCAUGCAAGAGACCUUCGAAUUCUCGACCCUCUUCUCUCAUAUCCUUCCACCAUUCUUGGCAGAGACAAAGUCAUUGUUCUCAAUUUAGAGCACAUAAAAGCUAUUAUCACUGCAGAAGAGGUGUUGCUUAGAGACCCUAUGGAUGAUGAUUUGAUGCCGGUUAUUGAAGAACUUCGGCGGCGGUUACCGAUAGCAACUGCUGCUGGCCAAGGCCAAGGAGAAGAAGACACGGUUGCUCAAGAUGGUGAAAGUGGAGAAGAAGAUGAGUUUCCAUUUGAGUUCCGGGCCUUAGAAGUUGUGUUGGAGGCAAUUUGCAGCUUCCUUGACGCAAGGACAAGAGAGUUAGAAUCUGCUGCUUAUCCAGCUUUGGAUGAACUCACCUCCAAGAUCAGCUGUCGUAAUUUGGAUAAAGUGCGAAAAUUGAAAGGUGCAAUGACAAGGUUAACAAAUCGAGUUCAAAAGAUAAGAGAUGAACUAGAAAACCUACUUGAUGACGAUGAUGACAUGGCUGAACUUUACUUAUCAAGAAAGUUUGCUGCUUCAUCCUCUCCCACAAGUAGCUCUUGUGAUCCCAAAUGGCUUCAUAGCUCCCCAAAUCCAGAUUCAGAGAUACAUAAUAUAUCAAAUAAAACAAGUACAACAACAGUUGAAGGAGAUAAUGAUGUUGAGGAGCUCGAAAUGUUACUUGAGGCCUAUUUCAUGCAAAUUGAUGGAACAUUAAACAAACUGAAAACACUGCGGGAGUAUAUUGAUGACACGGAAGAUUACAUCAACAUACAACUUGACAAUCACCGAAAUCAACUGAUUCAGCUAGAGCUCUUCCUCAGUUCUGGGACUGUUUCUCUGUCCAUAUGUUCAUUGGUGGCAGCAAUAUUUGGUAUGAACAUUCCAUAUACAUGGAGAGAAGGUCACGGAUAUAUAUUCAAAUGGGUGGUUAUCUUUGCUGGAAUGGUUUGUGCAUCCUUGUUUUUAUCCAUAGCAGCUUAUGCCAGACGCAAAGGCCUUGUUGGGUCUUGAAUGUAUAAAGAUGAAACAUCAGAUUGAUUGAGGGAAAAAGUGUACAAGAAGUGGACAAGUGAGAACUUGAAGUGCAUCAUCAACGACAUGUGGUCAUGGAGAACGCAUACCAUCGAAUGCAUUUGCGUGUGUCGCUGUGCAGGUUGAGGGGUCAGCACUGGAGGAGGAGCAACUGCCACCAUCGGCACCACCACAACAGGGAGAAGGGCACUCGAUGAGGAGAAGACCACGAAUGGAAUUCGCAAAGGAUUGUGGGCUACAAACUUAGGUUGGGGAGAAUAGAACCCUAGUUGGGAUGAUUUCAGAAAUUUAGGGUUAUAAAUUUAGUUUGGGGUUAAUUUGGCUGCUAAUUAAGUUAGUGAGUUGAGGUUAGUUUAGUGUUAAGUUCUUAACUUUAAGGUGGAAAUGAAAGAAAAAUGUAAAAUAAAAUUAACAUAAGCUUCGUUAAACAUGUAACUGUGCCACAUAUGACUGACAAUGACACUUGGAAAAUUUUUCACAACUCAACCUC